RNAcentral lists this small RNA (679 nucleotides) under Arabidopsis thaliana (thale cress). RNAcentral describes it as "ATSL177330". The record is from RNAcentral. Lineage: Eukaryota; Viridiplantae; Streptophyta; Magnoliopsida; Brassicales; Brassicaceae.
UAUUUUCAAUUUGUAUUCUUUAACUAAUUUAAGCUAACUAAUAUAUUUGUUAAUCUUAUACCUAUCAAAAUCAACUAUCGUUUCUUAUCUCUAUAGUAUUUUUGCAAGACUUUUUUGGUGGAUUUGGGUAAAAGUGCAUUCGGGUCAUAUGGUGCAUUCCCAUAUUAAAUAAAUAUGGUGCACUCCUAUGUUAUUAGCUAAAAUGUUUAGAUUAGAAAUCAAAGUCAUAUCAUAAAUAAAAUUAAUAUUAAUAAAAUAAAUGGCUUUUUGGCAAGACGGAUUUGGAGGAAUGGGUUUUUGGAUCAACAUUAAGAAAAAGUAAAAUAUAAUUAAUCCACCGUUUCAAUACGGGUUAAAUCUUUAAUUUAUUAUUUUUUAAGACUACUAAUAUUAAACAUAUCAAAUCAUCCUAAUUUAGAAAAGAUUAUAUAAAACCAAAAAUGUUAUGUGGUAUGUAUAAUGUUACUAUAUAUAAAAUUAAACUAUAAAAUAUAUAUUAGAGAAUGAUACAAUUUACAAAACUUUUAUAUAUAAUAAAUAAUUCUUAAAUUUUAAAAAUUACUACUUUAAAAAAAAUUCACGGAACGGGUAAAGAAAUUAUAGAAUAGGUUUUAUUUUUGGAAUUGAGUUAUAUGGUGGAUGUAUUUGAAUCAAUAUUUAUAAAAUUCUAAAAUAUUAU